GCGGACCGUACCGCAAACCGACACUGGUGGGCGAGCUGAAUAUGCUCAGGCGCUUGAGAGAACUCGGGAGAAGGAACUCGGCAAAUUGACACCGUAACUUCGGAAGAAGGUGUGCCGUAGUACCGUGAGAGGAGAGACACCUUGAGCGGGAAUCGGUCUCAGAGAAUAGGUGGCUGCGACUGUUUAUUAAAAACACAGCACUCUGCAAAGUCGAAAGACGACGUAUAGGGUGUGAUGCCUGCCCGGUGCUGGAAGAUUAAUUGAUGGGGUGAGAGCCCUUGAUCGAAGUCCCAGUAAACGGCGGCCGUAACUAUAACGGUCCUAAGGUAGCGAAAUUCCUUGUCGGGUAAGUUCCGACCUGCACGAAUGGCAUAACGAUGGCCACACUGUCUCCUCCCGAGACUCAGUGAAGUUGAAAUGUUUGUGAUGAUGCAAUCUACCCGCGGCUAGACGGAAAGACCCCAUGAACCUUUACUGCAGCUUUGCAUUGAACUGUGAACCGAUUUGUGUAGGAUAGGUGGGAGGCAGAGAAGAGGCCACGCCAGUGGUCUUGGAGCCGACCUUGAAAUACCACCCUGAUUUGUUUGCGGUUCUAACCACGGACAGUGAUCCUGUCUUGGGACCGUGCAUGGUAGGCAGUUUGACUGGGGCGGUCUCCUCCUAAAGGGUAACGGAGGAGUACGAAGGUACGCUAGGUACGGUCGGAAAUCGUGCUGAUAGUGCAAUGGCAAAAGCGUGCUUGACUGCGAGAGCAACAACUCGAGCAGAUGCGAAAGCAGGUCAUAGUGAUCCGGUGGCUCUGAAUGGAAGGGCCAUCGCUCAACGGAUAAAAGGUACUCUGGGGAUAACAGGCUGAUACCGCCCAAGAGUUCAUAUCGACGGCGGUGUUUGGCACCUCGAUGUCGGCUCAUCUCAUCCUGGGGCUGUAGUCGGUCCCAAGGGUAUGGCUGUUCGCCAUUUAAAGAGGUACGUGAGCUGGGUUUAAAACGUCGUGAGACAGUUUGGUCCCUAUCUGCCGUGGGCGUUGGAAGAUUGACGGGGGCUGCUCCUAGUACGAGAGGACCGGAGUGGACGCACCUCUGGUGUACCGGUUGUCACGCCAGUGGCAUUGCCGGGUAGCUAAGUGCGGAAGAGAUAACCGCUGAAAGCAUCUAAGCGGGAAACUUGCCUGAAGAUGAGUCUUCCCGGAGGUUGAACCUCCCUCAAGAGUCGUCCGAGACCAGGACGUCGAUAGGUCAGGUGUGUAAGCGCUGUAAGGCGUUGAGCUAACUGAUACUAAUUGCUCGUGAGGCUUGAUCCU
This 1300-nucleotide ribosomal RNA is filed under the name gut metagenome. Its description in RNAcentral is "bacterial LSU rRNA". It matches the Rfam family "Bacterial large subunit ribosomal RNA", at positions 1637 to 2925 of the family's 2925-position model. The record is from RNAcentral.